RNAcentral lists this ribosomal RNA (1794 nucleotides) under Capsicum chinense (habanero). RNAcentral describes it as "SSU rRNA". It matches the Rfam family "Eukaryotic small subunit ribosomal RNA". The record is from RNAcentral. Lineage: Eukaryota; Viridiplantae; Streptophyta; Magnoliopsida; Solanales; Solanaceae.
CCUGUUUGAUCCUGCCAGUAGUCAUAUGCUUACCUCAAAGAUUAAGCCAUGCAUGUGCAAGUAUGAACAAAUUCAGACUGUGAAACUGCGAAUGCCUCAUUAAAUGAAUUAUAGUUUGUUUGAUGGUAUCUACUACUCGGAUAACCGUACUAAUUCUAGAGAUAAUACGUGCAACAAACUCUGACUUCUAGAAGGGAUGCAUUUAUUAGAUAAAAGUUCGACGUGGGCUCUGCCCAUUGCAGCGAUGAUUCAUGAUACUCGACGGAUCGUAUGGCCAACGGGCCGGCGAUGCAUCAUUCUAAUUUCUGUGCUACCAAGUUUCGAUGGUAGGAUAGUGGCGUACCAAAGUGGUGACGGGUGAUGGAGAAUCAGGGUUCGAUUUCAAAGAGGGAUCCUGAGAAACGGCUACCACAUCCAAGGAAGGCAGCAGGCGUGCAAAUUACCCAAUCCUGACACGGGGAGGUAGUGACAAUAAAUAACAAUACCGGGCUCAAUGAGUCUGGUAAUUGGAAUGAGUACAAUCUAAAUCCCUUAACGAGGAUCCAUUGAAGGGAGAGUCUGGUGCCAGCAGCCGCGGUAAUUCCAUCACCAAUAGCUUAUAUUUAAGUUGUUGCAGUUAAAAAGCUCAAAGUUGGACUUUGGGAUUGGCCGACCGGUCCCCCUAUAGUGUGCAGUGGUCGUCCCAUCCCAUUUGUCAGCGAUGCGCUCCUGGCCUUAACUGGCCGGGUCAUGCCUCUGGCGCUGUUACUUUGAAGAAAUUAGAGUGCUUAAAGCAAGCUUGCUCUAUGUAUACAUUAGUAUGGGAUAAAAUUGUAGGAUUUUGGUCCCAUUACAUUGGCCUCCGGGAUCGAAGUAAUGAUUAACAGGGACAGUCGGGGGCAUUUGUAUUUCAUAGUCAGAGGUGACUUAUUGGAUUUAUGAAAUACGAACACCUGUAAAAGCAUUUUCCAAGGAUGUUUUCAUCAAUAAAGAAUGAAUUUUGGGGGAUCGAAGGCGAUCAGAUACCGUCCUAGUAUCAAUCAUAAACGAUGCUGACAAGGGAUCGGUAGAUGUUGCUUUUAGGACUCCGCCGACACUUUUUGAGAAAUCAUAGUUUUUGGGUUUCGGGGGGAGUAUGAUCACAAGGCUGAAACUUAAAGGAAUUGAUGGAAGGGCACCACCAGGAGUAGAGCCUACGGCUUAAUUUGACUCAACACGGGGUAAUUUACCAGGUCCCGACAUAGUAACGAUUGACAGACUGAGAGCUCUUUCUUGAUUUUGUGGGUGCUGGUGCAUGGCCGUUUUAGUUGGUGGAGUGAUUUGUCUGUUUAAUUUCAUUAACGAAUGAGACCUCAGCCUACUAACUAGCUAUGCGGAGGUAUCCCUUCACGGCCAGCUUCUUAGAGGGACUACGGCCUUUUAGGCCGCAAAAGUUUGAGGCAAUAAUAGGUCUGUGAUACCCUUAGAUGUUUUGGGCUGCACGCGUGCUACACUGAUGUAUUCAAUGAGUUUAUAGCCUUGGCCAAUAGGCUCGGGUAAUCUUUGAAAUUUCAUCGUGAUGGUGAUAGAUCAUUGCAAUUGUUGGUCUUCAACGAGAAAUUCCUAGUAAGCGUGAGUCAUUAGCUCCGUUGACUACGUCCCUACCCUUUGUACACACCGCCCAUCGCUCCUACCGAUUGAAUGAUCUAGUGAAAUGUUUGGAUUGCGGCGAUGUAGAUGGUUCACUGCCCACGACGUCGCGAGAAGUCCAUUGAACCUUAUUAUUUAGAGGAAGCAGAAUUCGUAAUAAGGUUUCCAUAGGUGAACCUGCAGAAG